GAGUAAGCUAGACACAUUUGCUUCUCCUUUUAAAAAUGGAAAUGACAAGCUCUUGCCACUUUCAUAUGCAGCCGGACAUGGUGUAUUUGUGUUUCUGAGGUUAUUGUACAAGACGAAUUGGGUGAGUGAUUUGAAGUUAAAAUUAGCUCAUUUUUGUCAACUUAUUUAUUUACUGGUAUAUUUAGGCUCGAAAUUAAUUUCUUCCCUUUUUUUUGUCUCCCUACAACUUUGUAUAAAACAGGUUCAUAUGACAUUAAUCCUACAAAUAAACCAUUUGGAUUAGAAGUCAUUUCCUUCAUGAAAAUUACCUUUCUUGACAUAGUAAUCAUUACUUUUUAUGAUGUCUGUAAAUCUAGAUUAAAAAUUCUCUAGGCUGGAAAUAAGAUUUAAUUUUAGAGCUAUUUUGUCCUUGAUUAUUGACACAGAAUCUUGUGGUGUUGAGCAAGGCAGAGGCUGUGUGCUGCAAUCUCUGUUGAGGAGGGAAACUCCCAGUGCUCUGCAUAGUGAACUGAUCACAUAGAAGUUUCUUUAGCAUGGGAAUGUGCUUCCAUGUUUCCCUGAAGAGCAAAGUACAGCGGUAGAAUGGCAGAUCCGUCCAGAAGUCAGUCCAAAAAGAUAGAUACCAUCAUGCUGACUGAUUCUUUUUCACAAUGCUGCUGUGAUGCCUCAGACACAAGCCCAAGCAUCUACCAAGCUGCUUCUUCCCUCCAAGUGACAAAAAGAAAAGAAAAGAAAAUGACAGGUACCAUCAGCCCACUUUUUACCCUGAUCUAUGCGGUCCUUAGCAACCAGAGUAUCUACACUGAGGCACGUUGCUGUGGUUGUCAUAACUUUGAAGAAAACAAAUCUUCAAAGAUCUUUUUUAUCUUUUCCAGGAAGAUAUGUCAAUCCUUUGAUGGUAAAAAGCAUUAAAACUCAAAAUUGAGAGGCAAAAUAUAUCAUAUCCCACUAAAAACUCCUUGAGCCAGAUAACUGCCAGCAUGUACAGUUAGAAGGGUAAUAAUAGCUAGUGACUGCUGUGUGGAAUGUGUUAAGACUUCUAAAUAUAUUAUUUCAUUUAAUUCUUGCAACUAUUUAUAGUAAAAAAUAAGAGGACUGAUGUUAAACAUGUUAGUUUUGCCUGCACUAAAAGCUUAAAAGAAUUAAUAAUGAGAUACGGAACUAUCAUACACAAAGCAUUCAGAAAAGCAUUUGUAAAUGAAUAUCUUAAAGGUAUCCUUCAACUGACACUUGUUCUGAUAUGGCUACUUAGUUGUCUCUAAAGCAAAAAGUACAUGUCGAGAGGUACUAAGUAAGAUAAGAGUUCUCCUUCCCAGUUCUUGCAGGCCUGUGUACUUAAUUUGACAAACACAUUGUUCCAAAAGUAAGCCAUGGGAGCUGGGCAUCAUGGCAUACACCUGUAGUCCCAGCUACUCAGGAGGCUGAAGUGGGAUGAUCCCUUGAGCCCAGGAGUUCGAGGCUGCAGUGAGCCAUGAUCAUGCCUCUGCACUCCAGCCUGAGUGACAGAGCAAGACCCUGUCUCUAAAACAAAACAAAAGUAAGCCAUGGGAGGCAGAUGUAGUAGAAUGGGAAAAAUGGAAAUACUAGCUUUGAAGCCUACACUGACCUUCUACUCAUGAGUCCCAGCCAGCAGCUGGGCAUUUGGGUGCAGGAGAGAGGGACAAGAAUACUUCCCCCAGUAAGAGCAAAAUGGAAUGCUACAAUCAUAGCCCAGUGGGCAGAGAUGGAAGGCAGAGCUUCAGGCACCCAGACAGUAUAUGUGGGUGUACGGCCUUUCAGAAUGUGGCUUAUGGCAGUCGGGUGUUAAAGGCUCACCACAGGCACAGCAGGUCCAACCUAGGGAAGGCCAAGGCUGUCAAGGUAUUCCCUGCCCUAAAAAGACUUCGCUCAAUGUCUCUCUGA
Molecule: long non-coding RNA, 1902 nt
Filed under: Homo sapiens (human)
Lineage: Eukaryota; Metazoa; Chordata; Mammalia; Primates; Hominidae
Description: non-protein coding lnc-SGK1-9:1
Source: RNAcentral